UGCCUACGGGUGGCAGCAGUGGGGAAUAUUGGACAAUGGGCGCAAGCCUGAUCCAGCCAUGCCGCGUGAGUGAUGAAGGCCCUAGGGUUGUAAAGCUCUUUCGGCGGGGACGAUAAUGACGGUACCCGCAGAAGAAGCCCCGGCUAACUUCGUGCCAGCAGCCGCGGUAAUACGAAGGGGGCUAGCGUUGUUCGGAAUCACUGGGCGUAAAGCGCACGUAGGCGGAUCGUUAAGUCGGGGGUGAAAUCCCGAGGCUCAACCUCGGAACUGCCUUCGAUACUGGCGAUCUUCGAGUCCGGGAGAGGUGAGUGGAACUCCGAGUGUAGAGGUGAAAUUCGUAGAUAUUCGGAAGAACACCAGUGGCGAAGGCGGCUCACUGGCCCGGUACUGACGCUGAGGUGCGAAAGCGUGGGGAGCAAACAGGAUUAGAUACCCUUGUAGUCCCG
Molecule: ribosomal RNA, 446 nt
Filed under: uncultured Hyphomicrobiales bacterium
Lineage: Bacteria; Pseudomonadati; Pseudomonadota; Alphaproteobacteria; Hyphomicrobiales
Description: bacterial SSU rRNA
Rfam family: Bacterial small subunit ribosomal RNA
Source: RNAcentral